Molecule: long non-coding RNA, 2878 nt
Organism: Vespa crabro (European hornet)
Lineage: Eukaryota; Metazoa; Arthropoda; Insecta; Hymenoptera; Vespidae
Exons: 5
Source: RefSeq, a predicted model, not a curated record
UAUUGUUUUGAUUCUUCCACUCUUCUACUAACCAAAUUAAAAAUUUUUUAACAAAGUUGUACGUUCAGCUUAAUAAAAGUUCUGGCUGUAAAAAAACCAUUAUUAUCAAUUAAUUAAUAAAGUUGAUGACGUAAAAUAAUAUUAAAAUUAGAAUCAUUAAAUGCAGUUUUGAAAUAUUAUAUUAAAAUGAAGAACAAAUCAACACGUCAUAAAUGGAAAGAUACAUUUCAGGUUGCUGAAGUGAGGAAAACAACGAGGAAGUGGAUAUGUAUUUUCAUGGAACGACACAAAAAUGGAAUCUCCUGAAAUUAACAUAUGACUAUUGUAGUUCUACAAUAUAAAUGAGAAAAAUUAUUAUACUUUCGUAAUCGCUCUAUAAAGAACAAUAUAUCAUCGAAAGUUCCUAAAAUAUAUAUAGUUAAAAAUUAAAUGAGACAACAAAUUAUCCAGGAAAACUCGGAAUUAUCUACAAAUGAAAAUAAGCUUAUCUCUAAAAACAUUGAAAAAGAAAACGAAGAUGGUAAUGACGAUAAUGAAAACGUAAUGAUGAAAAUAAUACUUUAAUUGGCCAAGACAAAGGAGAAAGAAUGGAAUUAUAUGAAAUUAAAUAAUGAAAAUAUUGUAUAUAUAUAGAAGAUAAAGAUGAAAUGACAGAUGCACAUUUGUUUGACAUACGAUGACAUAUUGAAUUUUCAUAAUAUAGAUCAAACUAUAAUUCGAUAGAUAUGCAAUAUUGGAGAAUUAUGGUUAUGCUAAUCUAAUUGAUACUUUUAAGAUUUUAAUUUUGAUUAAAAUCGAGCGAUUACAAACAGAUUUUCAUUCAUAUAAUUCAUAAAAUUACUGAAUAAAAUUGUCAAAAAUGUAAUUUUCAUCGCAUAGGUCUCGAAAUAAGUUAAAAGUCAUAUUGUUUACUCAGAUAACGAUUAUUAAUUAUAUAAAAAGAGUAAUACUUUACCUCUUACUUGACUAAUGAAAUGAUUAAGAAAAACUAUAACUAUAGAAAUAAUUGAGGCACUUAAUUUAUUCUCAGUGGUAUCAUUCCAUUUAAUAUUAAUUAGGAUCUCCAUUCUAAGUAUACAAAUUUAUUAUGUUCAGAGAAAUACAAUAUUCAAAUGGGCCACUGAUAUAAUGGAUACUAUAUAAAUGAGAAAAUUAAAUGAAAUAUUUUUUAGUGUAAAUUCUUUUUUAAUACAGGAAACUUCCAUGAUUAUAGAAUCAUCUACUUUUGGAAGAAUUGACAAAGGAGAUAACUUCUGUGACAAAGAAAUAAAUGUGUAAGGAAGAAAAUACGAAAUUCUAUAGUAAAACAAUACUGCAACAAGAAAAGAUAUAUAAGCUGCAGUUUGUGGGAAAAUUGAAAUUAGCAGUAAAGGAAGAAACCUAAAAUUAAGCAACAAAGGAAGAAAGUAAACAAGAAGAAAAACGUAAGACUGUAAAUAGCAAAUAAUUGUUAAUUAACAAAUAAAGAUUUAUUCCUUUGUUCACAGAGAAACAAAUUUUCAUUUAUCACCUCAUCCAAAAUAAUAAAACAUAUUAUAUGCAUAUAUCAUUUCUUUUAAAUUUAAUGGUAUAGCAAUGUCGGUAUUAAAAGCACUAAUAUCAGACUCAUUAAAAGACUUUAAAAAAUUAAUAUACUUAAAAUUAUUAAAUACAAUUUUAUAUGAUAAUAUUUUUGUUGUAGGCUUAGUAAACAUCUUCAGUUAUAUGCACCUGUACCUCUGCUGACACGUUUUUCCAAAUUACAAUAAAUUCAUGGUACUGAUGUGAUAUUGCCACAUCUUGAUAUAUCUUACACUUUUUCUCUGUGUUUCCACUGUGCAAUUGCUUCUUGUAAAGGAAUAGUGUUUUAUCGAUGAAGAAGAAGAAAAAGGAAAGGACAGUCAGUUUUAAUUCAGUAGUCAACAAUCUUAAUUAGAGAAUGUCUGAAAUGAAUCUUUCCAGUCGGUUCAUAACCCUGUAAAUCUAUUAAUAUAUACAUAUUUGUGUCAUAUUUAAUCAAUUUUUACUCCUUAAAUUUUAUUAAUUGCUAACGAUUGACCUACACCAUUUCUUACAAAUAUGUAGGAAGAGAAAUAAACUAUGAGAUUGUUUGGAUUGUCAGAAAAUAAGCGUAAAUAAUUUUUUAUUUCAAACCUACAGGUAAUUUCUUUUAUUUUAUAGCAUUUCAUACUAAUUACAUUCGAAUUGUAUUUUUUCUGUGCAUAUAUAUUUCGAUGUAAGUCAUUUCAAAAGUAUCUCAAUGAUUAUUAAUAUAUUACUUUAUUUUCUCGUACACAUGUUGAUUAAGUUCUUUGAAAAAUUUCUAAUUUUGUGUCUGAAUAUACAACAAAUAGCGGUUUUGUCAUUUGUAAAUAGUUAUGUUAAAUUUUACAAAAUAUAUAUAAAUUAUAAAGUCAAUCAUAAGUCAUGAAAUAAAUUAAAAUUAUAAAUCAUUUUGUAUUAGAUUAAAAUUUAUAUUUUAUGGUUGUUCCAAUAAAAUGCAAAGUUAGGUAGGAAUUGAGAGUCACUGUUACGUUUCUCACAAGUGCUCAGAUGGUCUGCUAUUCCUAUAUAAUAUACUUCGAAGCUAAUAGUAUUGAAGUUUCCUCGUGCGUCACUUCGGAGCCACUAGCGGAGUUCGUCAGUAACUCUCAACUUGCUUUGAGGAAAGUCCCUGGACCUUCGGCAGAGAGUGCCGUAACUUAGCUGUUAUAAGCCUUUCUUCGCCGUCUUUCUCGAUUAUAGGAUAGGAAGCCUUUGGCUGAUCUUUUCGAGAUUGGGCGAGAGUGUAUUGGUCAAAGCAAAGUUUUCGAUGUGUUCGAGACGCGAAUUUCUAUCCAUCCUGUGUGGAUGAAUCUUCGUAUCUAACUGAACAGGGCUUUCAGCGAGGAAACUUCUU